UCAGUGACUUUGAUUGUAGCGGGAGC
RNAcentral lists this non-coding RNA (26 nucleotides) under Mus musculus (house mouse). Lineage: Eukaryota; Metazoa; Chordata; Mammalia; Rodentia; Muridae. The record is from RNAcentral.